UCCGUAGGCGGGCGAUUAAGUCAGAGGUGAAAUCCCACAGCUUAACUGUGGAACUGCCUUUGAUACUGGUCGUCUUGAGUUAUAGUGAAGUAGAUAGAAUAUGUAGUGUAGCGGUGAAAUGCAUAGAUAUUACAUAGAAUACCGAUUGCGAAGGCAGUCUACUAACUGUAUACUGACGCUAAUGGACGAAAGCGUGGGGAGCGAACAGGAUUAGAUACCCUGGUAGUCC
RNAcentral lists this ribosomal RNA (229 nucleotides) under uncultured bacterium. RNAcentral's name for it is "partial 16S ribosomal RNA". It matches the Rfam family "Bacterial small subunit ribosomal RNA", at positions 568 to 796 of the family's 1533-position model. The record is from RNAcentral.